Molecule: ribosomal RNA, 815 nt
Filed under: Mycobacterium sp. PAP1-12_Pa
Lineage: Bacteria; Bacillati; Actinomycetota; Actinomycetes; Mycobacteriales; Mycobacteriaceae
Description: bacterial SSU rRNA
Rfam family: Bacterial small subunit ribosomal RNA
Source: RNAcentral
AAGUCGAACGGAAAGGCCCUUCGGGGUACUCGAGUGGCGAACGGGUGAGUAACACGUGGGUGAUCUGCCCUGCACUUUGGGAUAAGCCUGGGAAACUGGGUCUAAUACCGAAUAUGACUGCGCACUUCCUGGUGUGUGGUGGAAAGCUUUUGCGGUGUGGGAUGGGCCCGCGGCCUAUCAGCUUGUUGGUGGGGUAAUGGCCUACCAAGGCGACGACGGGUAGCCGGCCUGAGAGGGUGACCGGCCACACUGGGACUGAGAUACGGCCCAGACUCCUACGGGAGGCAGCAGUGGGGAAUAUUGCACAAUGGGCGCAAGCCUGAUGCAGCGACGCCGCGUGAGGGAUGACGGCCUUCGGGUUGUAAACCUCUUUCAAUAGGGACGAAGCGCAAGUGACGGUACCUAUAGAAGAAGGACCGGCCAACUACGUGCCAGCAGCCGCGGUAAUACGUAGGGUCCGAGCGUUGUCCGGAAUUACUGGGCGUAAAGAGCUCGUAGGUGGUUUGUCGCGUUGUUCGUGAAAACUCACAACUCAAUUGUGGGCGUGCGGGCGAUACGGGCAGACUAGAGUACUGCAGGGGAGACUGGAAUUCCUGGUGUAGCGGUGGAAUGCGCAGAUAUCAGGAGGAACACCGGUGGCGAAGGCGGGUCUCUGGGCAGUAACUGACGCUGAGGAGCGAAAGCGUGGGGAGCGAACAGGAUUAGAUACCCUGGUAGUCCACGCCGUAAACGGUGGGUACUAGGUGUGGGUUCCUUCCUUGGGAUCCGUGCCGUAGCUAACGCAUUAAGUACCCCGCCUGGGGAGUACGGCCGCA